AGCCUGAUGCAGCCAUGCCGCGUGUGUGAAGAAGGCCUUCGGGUUGUAAAGUCAGUCGUGAGGAAGGUGGUGUGUUAAUAGCACUAUCAUUUGACGUUAGCGACAGAAGAAGCACCGGCUAACUCCGUGCCAGCAGCCGCGGUAAUACGGAGGGUGCGAGCGUUAAUCGGAAUUACUGGGCGUAAAGCGCAUGCAGGUGGUUUGUUAAGUCAGAUGUGAAAGCCCGGGGCUCAACCUCGGAAUAGCAUUUGAAACUGGCAGACUAGAGUACUGUAGAGGGGGGUAGAAUUUCAGGUGUAGCGGUGAAAUGCGUAGAGAUCUGAAGGAAUACCGGUGGCGAAGGCGGCCCCCUGGACAGAUACUGACACUCAGAUGCGAAAGCGUGGGGAGCAAACAGGAUUAGAUACCCUGGUAGUCCACGCCGUAAACGAUGUCUACUUGGAGGUUGUGGCCUUGAGCCGUGGCUUUCGGAGCUAACGCGUUAAGUAGACCGCCUG
Molecule: ribosomal RNA, 497 nt
Filed under: Vibrio sp. 4WUM2 2
Lineage: Bacteria; Pseudomonadati; Pseudomonadota; Gammaproteobacteria; Vibrionales; Vibrionaceae
Description: bacterial SSU rRNA
Rfam family: Bacterial small subunit ribosomal RNA
Source: RNAcentral